RNAcentral lists this small nucleolar RNA (107 nucleotides) under Gossypium hirsutum (cotton). RNAcentral describes it as "Plant small nucleolar RNA R71". It matches the Rfam family "Plant small nucleolar RNA R71". From Rfam's summary of the family: R71 is a member of the C/D box family of snoRNAs containing the C (UGAUGA) and D (CUGA) box motifs. The record is from Rfam by way of RNAcentral. Lineage: Eukaryota; Viridiplantae; Streptophyta; Magnoliopsida; Malvales; Malvaceae.
AUGCCAUGGUGAGGAUAUUUCUACAGUAGCUCCUUGAAUCGCUCCCAUGCAUUAUAGAGAGAUUCUUCGUCAAAUUGCUAAAAUGAGGCAAUUUCACUUCUAAGCUU